Molecule: ribosomal RNA, 508 nt
Filed under: uncultured microorganism
Description: bacterial SSU rRNA
Rfam family: Bacterial small subunit ribosomal RNA
Source: RNAcentral
GAGUUUGAUCUUGGCUCAGGAUGAACGCUGGCGGCGUGCCUAAUACAUGCAAGUCGAGCGAACAGAUAAGGAGCUUGCUCCUUUGAAGUUAGCGGCGGACGGGUGAGUAACACGUGGGUAACCUACCUAUAAGACUGGGGAUAACUUCGGGAAACCGGAGCUAAUACCGGAUAACAUUUAGAACCGCAUGGUUCUAAAGUGAAAGAUGGUUUUGCUAUCACUUAUAGAUGGACCCGCGCCGUAUUAGCUAGUUGGUAAGGUAACGGCUUACCAAGGCGACGAUACGUAGCCGACCUGAGAGGGUGAUCGGCCACACUGGAACUGGGACACGGUCCAGACUCCUACGGGAGGCAGCAGUAGGGAAUCUUCCGCAAUGGGCGAAAGCCUGACGGAGCAACGCCGCGUGAGUGAUGAAGGGUUUCGGCUCGUAAAACUCUGUUAUUAGGAAGAACAAAUGUGUAAGUACUGUGCACAUCUUGACGGUACUAAUCAGAAAGCCACGGCUAAC